RNAcentral lists this small nucleolar RNA (153 nucleotides) under Drosophila ananassae. Its description in RNAcentral is "snoRNA:GF26075". Lineage: Eukaryota; Metazoa; Arthropoda; Insecta; Diptera; Drosophilidae. The record is from RNAcentral.
AUUGCAGCCAAUAUAACUGCAAUUAUAGUAUGUCCAGCUUUUUUGCAGAACUCAAUGUUGCAAAAUCAAGUUGUGGCCGCAAGGAAUCUGCUGUACCAGCUGCAGGUCAAACUGCAGUCACGUGGUAUAGCCUCCUCUGCAACUUCAACAAAU